UCAGUGAGAGGACAGAAGAGCUCACAUCAGUUCAGCUUCAACAUCAACAUGUUCUCUGUAGCUCUGAUACUGCUGCUGGCAGCUGGAUCCUGUGUGAACAGUAUUGAUCUCAUCCAGUCAGACUCAAUGGUUGUGCAGCCUGGACAGUCUUUGACCAUCACCUGUCAGGUCUCUGGAUAUUCUUUGACUGAUAACAGCUAUGCAACAGCUUGGAUCAGACAGCCUGCAGGGAAAGGACUGGAGUGGAUUGGAAGCAGAGCUGGAUCCACCACAUAUUACAAAGAUUCACUGAAGAACAAGUUCAGUAUCACCAUAGACUCUUCCAGUAACACAGUGACUCUAAACGGACAGAAUGUGCAGCCUGAAGACUCUGCUGUGUAUUACUGUGCCAGAGAGAGACACAAUAACACAAACCAUCAGUAG
Molecule: non-coding RNA, 423 nt
Organism: Dicentrarchus labrax (European seabass)
Lineage: Eukaryota; Metazoa; Chordata; Actinopteri; Moronidae
Source: the annotation of a RefSeq genome assembly